GGUGCAGUAGGUUGGUCGUGCCACCGGUACGUACUGGUCUCACUGAUUCCUCCUUCCUGAAGAACCGUAAUGCCAUUAAUUUGGUGUUGCGGGGAAACAGGACUGUUACUUUGAAAAAAUUAGAGUGUUUAAAGCAAGCUAACGCUUGAAUACAUUAGCAUGGAAUAAUGAAAUAGGACGAUCGAUCCUAUUUUGUUGGUUUCUAGGAUUGACGUA
Molecule: ribosomal RNA, 216 nt
Filed under: Glomeromycotina sp.
Lineage: Eukaryota; Fungi; Glomeromycota
Description: partial small subunit ribosomal RNA
Rfam family: Eukaryotic small subunit ribosomal RNA (bases 40-216)
Source: RNAcentral